This 480-nucleotide ribosomal RNA is filed under the name uncultured microorganism. RNAcentral's name for it is "bacterial SSU rRNA". It matches the Rfam family "Bacterial small subunit ribosomal RNA", at positions 346 to 817 of the family's 1533-position model. The record is from RNAcentral.
GUGCAGCAGGCGCGAAUCAUCCGCAAUGCGCGCAAGCGUGACGGUGCGACGCCGCGUGCGGGAGGAAGCCCCUCGGGGUGUAAACCGCUUUUCAGGGGUAUGAAGCGGCUUCGGUGAAUAGCCGGAGUCGUUGACGUCAACCCUGGAAUAAGCCCCUGCUAACUUCGUGCCAGCAGCCGCGGUAAUACGGAGGGGGCAAGCGUUGCUCGGAAUCACUGGGCUUAGAGCGGGCGUAGGCGGUCCGGUCAGUCGGAUGUGAAAUACCUCGGCUUAACCGAGGAAGGGCGUCCGAUACUGCCGGGCUUGAGGCAUCCAGGGGCGACUGGAACUCUCGGUGGAGCGGUGAAAUGCGUAGAUAUCGAGAGGAACGCCAAUGGCGAAAGGCAGGUCGCUGGGGGUGUCCUGACGCUGAGGCCCGAAAGCCAGGGGAGCGAACGGGAUUAGAUACCCCGGUAGUCCCUGAGACUACCAAGGCACACA